RNAcentral lists this ribosomal RNA (2173 nucleotides) under Drosophila melanogaster (fruit fly). RNAcentral describes it as "eukaryotic LSU rRNA". It matches the Rfam family "Eukaryotic large subunit ribosomal RNA", at positions 1315 to 3185 of the family's 3401-position model. The record is from RNAcentral. Lineage: Eukaryota; Metazoa; Arthropoda; Insecta; Diptera; Drosophilidae.
AAAAUGGAUGGCGCUUAAGUUGUAUACCUAUACAUUACCGCUAAAGUAGAUGAUUUAUAUUACUUGUGAUAUAAAUUUUGAAACUUUAGUGAGUAGGAAGGUACAAUGGUAUGCGUAGAAGUGUUGGCGUAAGCCUGCAUGGAGCUGCUUGGUAGAUCUUGGUGGUAGUAGCAAAAUAUCGAAUGAGACCUUGGAGGACUGAAGUGGAGAAGGGUUUUCGUGUGAACAGUGGUUGAUCACGAGUUAGUCGGUCCUAAGUUCAAGGCGAAAGCCGAAAAUUUUCAAGUAAAACAAAAAGCCUAACUAUAUAAACAAAGCGAAUUAUAAUACACUUGAAUAAUUUUGAACGAAAGGGAAUACGGUUCCAAUUCCGUAACCUGUUGAGUAUCCGUUUGUUAUUAAAUAUGGGCCUCGUGCUCAUCCUGGCAACAGGAACGACAUAAAGAAGCCGUCGAGAGAUAUCGGAAGAGUUUUCUUUUCUGUUUUAUAGCCGUACUACCAUGGAAGUCUUUCGCAGAGAGAUAUGGUAGAUGGGCUAGAAGAGCAUGACAUAUACUGUUGUGUCGAUAUUUUCUCCUCGACCUUGAAAAUUUAUGGUGGGGACACGCAAACUUCUCAACAGGCCGUACCAAUAUCCGCAGCUGGUCUCCAAGGUGAAGAGUCUCUAGUCGAUAGAAUAAUGUAGGUAAGGGAAGUCGGCAAAUUAGAUCCGUAACUUCGGGAUAAGGAUUGGCUCUGAAGAUUGAGAUAGUCGGGCUUGAUUGGGAAACAAUAACAUGGUUUAUGUGCUCGUUCUGGGUAAAUAGAGUUUCUAGCAUUUAUGUUAGUUACUUGUUCCCCGGAUAGUUUAGUUACGUAGCCAAUUGUGGAACUUUCUUGCUAAAAUUUUUAAGAAUACUAUUUGGGUUAAACCAAUUAGUUCUUAUUAAUUAUAACGAUUAUCAAUUAACAAUCAAUUCAGAACUGGCACGGACUUGGGGAAUCCGACUGUCUAAUUAAAACAAAGCAUUGUGAUGGCCCUAGCGGGUGUUGACACAAUGUGAUUUCUGCCCAGUGCUCUGAAUGUCAAAGUGAAGAAAUUCAAGUAAGCGCGGGUCAACGGCGGGAAGUAAACUAAUGAGGCCAAAUGCCUCGUCAUCUAAUUAGUGACGCGCAUGAAUGGAUUAACGAGAUUCCUACUGUCCCUAUCUACUAUCUAGCGAAACCACAGCCAAGGAACGGGCUUGGAAUAAUUAGCGGGGAAAGAAGACCUUUUGAGCUUGACUCUAAUCUGGCAGUGUAAGGAGACAUAAGAGGUGUAGAAUAAGUGGGAGAUAUUAGACCUCGGUUUGGUAUCGUCAAUGAAAUACCACUACUCUUAUUGUUUCCUUACUUACUUGAUUAAAUGGAACGUGUAUCAUUUCCUAGCCAUUAUACGGAUAUAUUUAUUAUAUCUUAUGGUAUUGGGUUUUGAUGCAAGCUUCUUGAUCAAAGUAUCACGAGUUUGUUAUAUAAUCGCAAACAAAUUCUUUAAUAAAACGAUGCAUUUAUGUAUUUUUGAUUUGAAAAUUUGGUAUAACUCCAAUUACUCAGGUAUGAUCCAAUUCAAGGACAUUGCCAGGUAGGGAGUUUGACUGGGGCGGUACAUCUCUCAAAUAAUAACGGAGGUGUCCCAAGGCCAGCUCAGUGCGGACAGAAACCACACAUAGAGCAAAAGGGCAAAUGCUGACUUGAUCUCGGUGUUCAGUACACACAGGGACAGCAAAAGCUCGGCCUAUCGAUCCUUUUGGUUUAAAGAGUUUUUAACAAGAGGUGUCAGAAAAGUUACCAUAGGGAUAACUGGCUUGUGGCGGCCAAGCGUUCAUAGCGACGUCGCUUUUUGAUCCUUCGAUGUCGGCUCUUCCUAUCAUUGUGAAGCAAAAUUCACCAAGCGUUGGAUUGUUCACCCAUGCAAGGGAACGUGAGCUGGGUUUAGACCGUCGUGAGACAGGUUAGUUUUACCCUACUAAUGACAAAACGUUGUUGCGACAGCAUUCCUGCGUAGUACGAGAGGAACCGCAGGUACGGACGCAAUGGCACAAUACUUGUUCGAGCGAACAGUGGUAUGACGCUAGUCCGUUGGAUUAUGCCUGAACGCCUCUAAGGUCGUAUCCGUGCUGGACUGCAAUGAUAAAUAAGGGGCAAUUUGCAUUGU